This 97-nucleotide small RNA is filed under the name Flavobacterium sp. 102. Its description in RNAcentral is "Flavo-1 RNA". It matches the Rfam family "Flavo-1 RNA". The record is from RNAcentral. Lineage: Bacteria; Pseudomonadati; Bacteroidota; Flavobacteriia; Flavobacteriales; Flavobacteriaceae.
UUUUAGCCCCGAUAGUCGUGGAAAUCCUUUUUUGACUUGCCAUGGGUUUUAACCCGUGGUAAUUUAAAAAAGAUUGUAACAGAUAGCGGGAAAAUGG